RNAcentral lists this ribosomal RNA (764 nucleotides) under Salmonella enterica. RNAcentral's name for it is "partial 23S ribosomal RNA". It matches the Rfam family "Bacterial large subunit ribosomal RNA", at positions 729 to 1495 of the family's 2925-position model. The record is from RNAcentral. Lineage: Bacteria; Pseudomonadati; Pseudomonadota; Gammaproteobacteria; Enterobacterales; Enterobacteriaceae.
UCUAGCCAUGGGCAGGUUGAAGGUUGGGUAACACUAACUGGAGGACCGAACCGACUAAUGUUGAAAAAUUAGCGGAUGACCUGUGGCUGGGGGUGAAAGGCCAAUCAAACCGGGAGAUAGCUGGUUCUCCCCGAAAGCUAUUUAGGUAGCGCCUCGUGAAUUCAUCUCCGGGGGUAGAGCACUGUUUCGGCUAGGGGGCCAUCCCGGCUUACCAACCCGAUGCAAACUGCGAAUACCGGAGAAUGUUAUCACGGGAGACACACGGCGGGUGCUAACGUCCGUCGUGAAGAGGGAAACAACCCAGACCGCCAGCUAAGGUCCCAAAGUCAUGGUUAAGUGGGAAACGAUGUGGGAAGGCCCAGACAGCCAGGAUGUUGGCUUAGAAGCAGCCAUCAUUUAAAGAAAGCGUAAUAGCUCACUGGUCGAGUCGGCCUGCGCGGAAGAUGUAACGGGGCUAAACCAUGCACCGAAGCUGCGGCAGCGACACUGUGUGUUGUUGGGUAGGGGAGCGUUCUGUAAGCCUGUGAAGGUGUGUCGUGAGGCAUGCUGGAGGUAUCAGAAGUGCGAAUGCUGACAUAAGUAACGAUAAAGCGGGUGAAAAGCCCGCUCGCCGGAAGACCAAGGGUUCCUGUCCAACGUUAAUCGGGGCAGGGUGAGUCGACCCCUAAGGCGAGGCCGAAAGGCGUAGUCGAUGGGAAACGGGUUAAUAUUCCCGUACUUGGUGUUACUGCGAAGGGGGGACGGAGAAGGCUAUGUUGGCCGGG